GGCGGUAUAGUGUUUAACGGUCAAGCACAGCGGACUUUUAAUCCGCCAAGUGUCGGUUCGAAUCCGACUGCCGCCACCA
This 79-nucleotide transfer RNA is filed under the name Burkholderia cenocepacia. Its description in RNAcentral is "tRNA-Lys". It matches the Rfam family "tRNA". Rfam says of the family: Transfer RNA (tRNA) molecules are approximately 80 nucleotides in length. Their secondary structure includes four short double-helical elements and three loops (D, anti-codon, and T loops). The record is from RNAcentral. Lineage: Bacteria; Pseudomonadati; Pseudomonadota; Betaproteobacteria; Burkholderiales; Burkholderiaceae.